UACGUAGGGGGCAAGCGUUAUCCGGAUUUACUGGGUGUAAAGGGUGCGUAGGCGGAUUUUUAAGUCAGCGGUAAAAUGUCCGGGCUCAACCCGGGCCGGCCGUUGAAACUGGGGAUCUUGAGUGGGCGAGAAGUAUGCGGAAUGCGUGGUGUAGCGGUGAAAUGCAUAGAUAUCACGCAGAACUCCGAUUGCGAAGGCAGCAUACCGGCGCCCGACUGACGCUGAGGCACGAAAGCGUGGGGAUCGAACAGG
Molecule: ribosomal RNA, 252 nt
Filed under: uncultured bacterium
Lineage: Bacteria
Description: partial 16S ribosomal RNA
Rfam family: Bacterial small subunit ribosomal RNA
Source: RNAcentral